RNAcentral lists this ribosomal RNA (254 nucleotides) under uncultured bacterium. RNAcentral describes it as "partial 16S ribosomal RNA". It matches the Rfam family "Bacterial small subunit ribosomal RNA", at positions 524 to 776 of the family's 1533-position model. The record is from RNAcentral.
UACGGAGGGUGCGAGCGCUGAUCGGACUCACUGGGCGUAAAGCGUACGCAGGCGGCUCGUUAAGUCGGGUGUGAAAGCCCGGUUCUCAACCCCGGAAUUGCGCCCGAUACUGGCGAGCUUGAGUACGGGAGAGGGAUAGCGGAAUUCCUGGUGUAGAGGUGAAAUUCGUAGAUAUCAGGAGGAACACCAGUGGCGAAAUCGGCUUCCUGGCCCGAUACUGACGCUCAUGUACGAAAGCGUGGGGAGCAAACAGG